UACGUAGGGUGCAAGCGUUAAUCGGAAUUACUGGGCGUAAAGCGUGCGCAGGCGGUUGUGCAAGACCGAUGUGAAAUCCCCGGGCUUAACCUGGGGAUGGCAUUGGUGACUGCACGGCUAGAGUGUGUCAGAGGGGGGUAGAAUUCCACGUGUAGCAGUGAAAUGCGUAGAGAUGUGGAGGAAUACCGAUGGCGAAGGCAGCCCCCUGGGAUAACACUGACGCUCAUGCACGAAAGCGUGGGGAGCAAACAGG
Molecule: ribosomal RNA, 253 nt
Filed under: uncultured bacterium
Lineage: Bacteria
Description: partial 16S ribosomal RNA
Rfam family: Bacterial small subunit ribosomal RNA
Source: RNAcentral